UGCAACACUUAGACAAGACAACACCUAAGUAAAAGUUACAGCAAAGUCUAUAGUUUUCAGGACAAGGCAAUUAUUUGUCGUAUUUUCAAAGUUGGUUGUGCUUGUCAUCAAUUGUUUCUCUAGGUGGUGUGUGAUGGCCAUGUAGGAGGAAGGACAUGAGAGUGAAGCCUUCACAGGCCUCCACAGAAAACUGCUUUGUGGUCUUUCCGUAUGGCAUCACAGAAAAAGAAGAUUUGCCUAAGGAAUAAUUGUAAGAAAAAAUAGAUUACUGCAAGGUUUAUUGGCUGUACGUAUGAUUUAUUUUUUUUAACAGAUUUGCUUGAAAUACUGAACGAGGAGAUGAGAAAUGCUUUCAUGUUUUUCUGUUACUUAGAGCUUUGAUGUUUCUGUGUUGGGUGCUACCAGAAAGGAAAUAACCAGCUAUAUAAUAGUUUCAGUGGGCAGAAGCUCCAAAACUUGCAUGGAAAUUUUCUUAUGACAUCAAGAACAGUGUCUCUGAUGCUACAGUCAACACACCUUGGUUCUUGGAGAAUUUCUCAUCAAAACAGAUAUGUUUCUGAAAGCAAGAAAUUCAAGUCUGACAGACUUUAGUGAAAAUUGAUUUUGUUUAAAAAUUCUUGCCCUGUCUACAGCUUGCAGAGACAUGCUUUACCAUUUGUUUAAUUAUCUUUGGGGUUAAUUUUUGUCUAGGAUCUUGCAGAACAAAAGCUGUAUUAUGUUAAGAACACCUCAUCCAGAGAUAAUAAGCCAAACAUGUUUAUUCUAUUAGAUGUCCUAUAGUCUCCUAACAUUGACAAAAUGAGGCUGAAUGUUUGCACAUGAUCUAAACUAGAAUAUGUGAAAUCAAGUUCUUGUCUGGGCACAAAUGAUUUAGGACCAGGAGAAGUCUGAUUUGAGUGGAAGGAGUUACUAUAGUCAUAACCAACAGAACUCUAAACUGCACUAGACUGAAAGUGAUAAUUUCCAAAGACCACUCACAGUAAAAAUUUACUGGUUUAUGCUGGAGGAAACUGAGGUAAAAGGAGGUCAGAUCAGCACAGCAACACGCUGCCACAUGUGCUGUUCCUGAGUGAAGGGCAGUCAGUUAAACAUGGUGAGCCUACCACUGGUGGAAAAGUAAAGCUCUGAGAGUGGAUCCCUUGACACCGUGGCAGCAUUUCUGACCUUAAUCAGUCCUGAGAGGGAUCUGAUGAGUUGAAAGGCAGGGCAUCUGUUACAUUAUAGCCAAAUUAUCUUUUAAAAAUUGAGAGAGGGAAAAAUAGAAAUCCACAUGGUACAAAACUUUUGGUUCUGUUAUUAUACUUUGCAAUUGUUCUGAUUUUAAGGAAAAGUAAACCCAAAUAAUUAGGCAAUCCAUUAUUAGGAGGUUGAUGAUCAAAUGAAUGCACUGAGUUGGCAGUUGUUGCCCACAUGUAAGUGUCUAUUGAUGAUAUUAAAUGCUCUAGGGUAGAUUAGACAUCUGCAAGGGACUGUGCCAUUUUGAAAGAGAAGCUGCAGGCCAGAUCAAUCCAGGCAACCUAGCAUUAUCUGACAUCUGGCAUUAGGUGCGUAUAAGAUAGGAUUUAGUUCAGAUGUCUAAAUAUAGAUAUCUAUGCUUAAGACAAGGUGCCCAGACUCUGACAUAAGUCAAUAGAAAGCUACUCUAUAGGGUAAUGAAAUGUAGAGGAUGAUAAACUUUAUGCCAAAUAGGCAGCUGUUGGCUGGUCAAAUGAAAGUCCGUAGGUUUAACCGACUAUGUGCUAAGUCUCCAUUGAUUCCAAUGGACAUUUGGGCGUACAGGAGCUACAUGUACGUUUAGGUAUCUUAACUUUGACUCGAAUUCUACCCAGCUAAGUCUGAACUGGUGCAAAGACCUGACUGCAACAGUGUCAUUGGAAGUCUGCUCUCUCUGGAGGCUCCUGAGUUGUGUAACAACUCUGUGUCUAUGUAACCAGAUAGAUGCAUUCAAUGAUCUAGGCUCUGGUUUUGGUCCCUCCAUCCUUCAGACUAAUAGAAAUCAGCAAGUUUUCCUCCCUCCUGAUGGCCAGUAUUUCUUACAAUAAUAUAUACUGCAUGACAGGAUGCAGUGCCUUUAGAGUCCCUUAUCAUACAUCCAUGACUGGAUAUGCUAUAGAGUGUGUUGCUGUUUGUUUACUAGUCACGAGGGUAGAGAAAAAUGAACAAAGUAAACUGUUUACUGUGUUUUGUCAAGUUGCAUACAGAGGAAAUAAUGGAAAUGCAGAUCAUGAACAAUGAAAUUGUGAUGGAAUCUUCUCAUUCAAGAAAUAGCUUUGCUUUUCUCAUAACAUGUCUAGGAUAUGUUAUAAAUAGGACACAGAAACUUAUAAAGAAGUUUACCUUGAAAUUAAGAUCAGGUACGAAAAUUCUAUGUCUGAAAGAAUGCGCAGAAGAAAAUUGACCUUCUGGCUAUUUUCAGAGAAUCCUAUCUAUUUAUGUCCCAUCACCAUUACGUUUUUUCAGGGCAGAACAGAUUGUUUCUCCUGUUUAUAGAAUACUAUAAAAUUUCUUUGUCUU
Molecule: long non-coding RNA, 2514 nt
Organism: Gallus gallus (chicken)
Lineage: Eukaryota; Metazoa; Chordata; Aves; Galliformes; Phasianidae
Source: Ensembl